UACAGAGGAGCCAAGCGUUGUCCGGAUUGACUGGGCGUAAAGCGCACGCAGGCGGUUCGUUAAGUUCGUUGUGAAAGCCCCGGGCUCAACCUGGGAACUGCAAUGGAAACUGGCGGGCUUGAGUGUGGCAGAGGGGGGUGGAAUUCCGCGUGUAGCAGUGAAAUGCGUAGAGAUGCGGAGGAACACCGAUGGCGAAGGCAGCCCCCUGGGCCAACACUGACGCUCAGGCACGAAAGCGUGGGGAGCAAACAGG
RNAcentral lists this ribosomal RNA (253 nucleotides) under uncultured bacterium. RNAcentral's name for it is "partial 16S ribosomal RNA". It matches the Rfam family "Bacterial small subunit ribosomal RNA", at positions 524 to 776 of the family's 1533-position model. The record is from RNAcentral.